GUGCCAGCCGCCCGCGGUAAUACGUAGGGUGCGAGCGUUAAUCGGAAUUACUGGGCGUAAAGCGUGCGCAGGCGGCGCCAUAAGACAGAUGUGAAAUCCCCGGGCUUAACCUGGGAACUGCGUUUGUGACUGUGGUGCUCGAGUGCGGCAGAGGGGGGUGGAAUUCCACGUGUAGCAGUGAAAUGCGUAGAGAUGUGGAGGAACACCGAUGGCGAAGGCAGCCCCCUGGGUCGACACUGACGCUCAUGCACGAAAGCGUGGGGAGCAAACAGG
This 273-nucleotide ribosomal RNA is filed under the name uncultured bacterium. RNAcentral describes it as "partial 16S ribosomal RNA". It matches the Rfam family "Bacterial small subunit ribosomal RNA", at positions 505 to 776 of the family's 1533-position model. The record is from RNAcentral.